This 496-nucleotide ribosomal RNA is filed under the name uncultured bacterium. RNAcentral describes it as "partial 16S ribosomal RNA". It matches the Rfam family "Bacterial small subunit ribosomal RNA", at positions 28 to 506 of the family's 1533-position model. The record is from RNAcentral.
GAUGAACGCUGGCGGCGUGCCUAAUACAUGCAAGUCGAGCGAACAGACGAGGAGCUUGCUCCUCUGACGUUAGCGGCGGACGGGUGAGUAACACGUGGAUAACCUACCUAUAAGACUGGGAUAACUUCGGGAAACCGGAGCUAAUACCGGAUAAUAUAUUGAACCGCAUGGUUCAAUAGUGAAAGACGGUUUUGCUGUCACUUAUAGAUGGAUCCGCGCCGCAUUAGCUAGUUGGUAAGGUAACGGCUUACCAAGGCAACGAUGCGUAGCCGACCUGAGAGGGUGAUCGGCCACACUGGAACUGAGACACGGUCCAGACCCCUACGGGAGGCAGCAGUAGGGAAUCUUCCGCAAUGGGCGAAAGCCUGACGGAGCAACGCCGCGUGAGUGAUGAAGGUCUUCGGAUCGUAAAACUCUGUUAUUAGGGAAGAACAAAUGUGUAAGUAACGAUGCACGUCUGGACGGUACCUAAUCAGAAAGCCACGGCUAACUACGU